This 1821-nucleotide long non-coding RNA is filed under the name Salmo salar (Atlantic salmon). RNAcentral describes it as "lncRNA (ENSSSAG00000103078.1)". The record is from RNAcentral. Lineage: Eukaryota; Metazoa; Chordata; Actinopteri; Salmoniformes; Salmonidae.
UUGAGAUCUACAUUGCGCGCGAGGUUGAUGGAAACUUUACAUUUUCACUUUGUUACGUCUUUGGUGAGCAAAACAGCUAAUAACUUAGCUAAAUACUGACUUUAUCCUCAAUCGAGAUAUCUGUCCGUGGUUUCAGCUCCAACUGAAGUUAAAGGUGCAUUUCAGACACACAUGUUCGUGUCUAUUCAGGAUGUAGUGUACUCAGACUGUCUAGCUCUAGCUAAUAACACAGCAUAGUAGGCUAUUGGUUGACAGACAGCCGCUGAUCACAUCACCGCCAGCCAGGGACGUCACUAGACAUUAAUGGAUGGGGGGGCUAAGCCUCUUUUAGGGAGGUCUGACAUACUCCCUCCGGUCCGUUUAUUGUUAGCUAGCAGUCUCAAGCCACAGAAGUAGCUAACGUUAACUUAAACGUUGCAUGUACACUAGAUAGUGGUAAACUGCUGAGGCCGCCCAUUGGGACUCGCUUGUGGGCGUGCUGGCAGCAAAUGGCAGCCAGUUUGAUUGUGCGUCAAGAAUUCAGCACAGCAAGUUUGUAUGAAGAUCUGGUUAUUAAAGGGGUACAUAGUUCAAUAGUAAUAUCCUCUAAAACGCUCUGGUGACUAACACUUUGCUGCCCUGUUUCCAAUUAUCCACAUGGCUGGCAGAACCUAUUCAACUAAGUAAAUACAAUACAAAAAUGUUUUUUUUUUAAACUAUGUAUUAUUAGCUAACUAGCUACUGUGCAGGCUAACACAAAUGAGCUGCUAAAUUAACUAGCUAGUUAGCUAUCUUGCCAACGUUAUAUACUGUAUAGAUAGCUAGCCAAGUGAAUUAUAUAUCACCAGCUACCUAACAUCAUAUUAGCUCGGUAUCUUGAUGUAUUUAUCACUGUAAAAAACUAACUCCAAAUGCAUUUGUAGGUAGCUAGCUAACAGCCUUGGAGGGUGAUAUGAUAGCAGCCCCAACUGUCAAAGUGAGAGAGUAGACUAUUCUGGAUAGGGCAGGUACUUUUGUGUACUUCCUGUCCCUAGAAGUGAGGAUGGAGAUAAUAGUAACAUUAUAUUCAGUACGGUAUAAUUUCACUGUAAUGAAGUAUGUUUCUUGUGAGGUUUUCGGGCCUCAGAUACAGAGAGCUGUGAAAGCCUGUCUACAUAUGAAGAGGUCCCAAUGAAGAGCAGUGGUUCUCGCUUUAACUACCUUCUUUUCUCAAUAACAGUCUCUCUCCUUCACUUCAUCCCUCUCUCCCCUUCUCCCUAAAUCCUCUAGGUUAUAUCAGCUGUGUUGGUGAACCCCUCCUGCAUCUGAACUGGCUACAUAGGGGGCACAGCAUGAUCAGAUUUGAGAGGUCACUUGGUCAGGUCAACAGGAACUAUUAUUAAAGAGAUGCUUUACAUUGAAAUACAGAUAGAUAUGUUUUGAUGUGAGAGGAUGCCAACCCCCAGUCUCAUCAUCGCCACCUCACCUGCUUUUAAGAACCUUUGGGCCGACGAGAGACACUAUUGUGUAAUUGUGAUGAACUGAGAGAAUAUUUAGGUAGCACUGUGAUUCAUUAAUCAUGUGCUGCCUUCCCUGCUCCUAUGUGCUUACCUCUUUCCCUUUCUGUCUUUUACACCUCUUUAUUCCUCUGUUUUUAUAAUGCACAACACAUGUGCAUUGAAGUACAGAUUGAACUUGUAUUUAUAACACUUGGAUAAAUGACCUUUUCAAUAAAGCAUUUCACAUUCUCUACUGGUUGAAAUUAAGUCUCAUCUAAUGAAAUACUCCACCUAUCCUGUGUUCAUCAGAUCAAUGCAGAUGAAGGGCAUUAGAUUUGAGAUGAACCGGUGUGAGACUAUUUAC